AUCCACAACAAUAUUCAUGCAUUGACACAAGGAGAGCAGACAGUUUUGACUUAUAUUUUACCUGUGACUGUCCUGUAUCUUGGGAAGGUCCGUACUGUGACCAAGACGUCGACGAGUGUGCAUCAGGUUACUGUGAAGCAUGGAAGAUCUGCGAGAACACAAUGGGAAGUUAUGAUUGCUACUGUAAAGCUAGCGAUAUCAUCUGUAAACUGUCUGUUGAAGUGUGGGAGUUUGCUGUUAUUGUAACGGCGAUAGUAGUUGUCCUUUUAGCUAUACUAGCAGUGUUUAUAGUACGGAAAUUGAAGUCAAAGAAGCACAAGAUCAAAAAAGAGUUAUUGGACAAAGAGAUAUCAGAGUCAAGUAUAUCAUUAACAGCUGUGUUGCAAAAUCCACAGGUAUGACAUUUGAUUACUAAUUAUAGAUAAACCUGAUCUCACCGUGGGACAGUGUAAAUAAAAGUUGUCCCGCAUUAGUAACAAACGUCGCGAUUUGCUGCAAACUAUAAAAUUGUAAAACACACUAAGGAACUAAAAACGCAUGUAGUCGCUGCUUUGCAUAAGACAGGACGAUAAGGUAAUCACUUGUAAGAUCCCGACGAAACAUGCCAGAAGAAAAGUAGUAAAACAGGUAAGUCCCAGUGGAACCAUAUCUUGAAACCAUCUGCUUGUUCCGCCAGACAAAAUCCGAGACAAAAGCGUAGCGUCAACUCCAAACGGGCUAAAUACCACUAAUUACGCAAAUUGACUGGGAUGAAAGCGUAGCGUCAACUCCAAAAGGGCUAAAUACUAUUUAUUACGCGAAUUGCCUCAAAAUAGCCAAGAAAUAACUUUUUUAAAUAAAACGUUUUAUAUUUUCAACAAACACAAUUCAAGGUCGGGAGUAGCGGAAAUGUUCCUAAAUAUUGCGGUGUUUGCCAAAGCUUUUAUGAUAGCACAGCUUGUUGUAUGUAUUUGUUUGAUAUGUUUAAUACGUAAAUUGCAGCGAUAUUUGUGUUUAGAAGACUUGUCCUUGAUAUGUCAGUAAUAGUAUUGUGAUAAUGAUGAUUUAUAUUGCGAAAGGCACAUAUACAGUUUUGAACUGACAUUUUUUUUUGUGCCGCGACUACUGUAUAUUUGUUAUUUUAUAUCAUGUAUACAAUUACAUUUUGGAUUUAAUACCUACAUGCACAGUAUGAUUGCGAUUAUUCAUUCAUCAUACGCUCAUAACUCGAAUGUCUGUGCAUAUAAAAUGAUUAAUACAAUCCCUCUUUCAGGAUCUUGGACCUGCUAGACCUCGUUUAGGAAAAGUCGGACCGUGGCCUUUACACAACGAGGAUGAAAGUAGUAAAUCAAAAGUUUCUACAUCACCAAUACCCCCAAUGUCCUUGUUUACUACUGGCCAUUUCCGUGGUGAUAUGCACGGGAAUGAUAAUGAUUCAGUGGAAGAAGGUUUUGUACGUCCGGCACCAGUCUAUGAUCAUGAACAACAUGUAUCGGAACUUACA
Mercenaria mercenaria is the source of this 1483-nucleotide long non-coding RNA. RefSeq lists it as uncharacterized. Lineage: Eukaryota; Metazoa; Mollusca; Bivalvia; Venerida; Veneridae. The record is from RefSeq and is a predicted model, not a curated record. The transcript has 5 exons.